Molecule: ribosomal RNA, 257 nt
Filed under: uncultured bacterium
Lineage: Bacteria
Description: partial 16S ribosomal RNA
Rfam family: Bacterial small subunit ribosomal RNA
Source: RNAcentral
GAUCAUGGCUCAGGAUGAACGCUAGCUACAGGCUUAACAAAUGCAAGUCGAGGGGCAUCAGGAAGAAAGCUUGCUUUCUUUGCUGGCGACCGGCGCACGGGUGAGUAACACGUAUCCAACCUGCCCUUUACUCGGGGGUAGCCUUUCGAAAGAAAGAUUAAUACCCGAUGGCAUAAUGAUUCCGCAUGGUUUCAUUAUUAAAGGAUUCCGGUAAAGGAUGGGGAUGCGUUCCAUUAGGUUGUUGGUGAGGUAACCGG